GAUGAAGAACGUAGCGAAAUGCGAUAAGUAAUGUGAAUUGCAGAAUUCAGUGAAUCAUCGAAUCUUUGAACGCACAUUGCGCCCGCCAGUAUUCUGGCGGGCAUGCCUGUUCGAGCGUCAUUACAACCCUCAGGCCCCCGGGCCUGGCGUUGGGGAUCGGCGAGGCGCCCCCCGCGGGCACGCGCCGUCCCCCAAAUACAGUGGCGGUCCCGCCGCAGCUUCCAUUGCGUAGUAGCUAACACCUCGCAACUGGAGAGCGGCGCGGCCAUGCCGUAAAACACCCAACUUCUGAAUGUUGACCUCGAAUCAGGUAGGAAUACCCGCUGAACUUAAGCAUAUCAAUAAGCGGAGG
RNAcentral lists this unclassified non-coding RNA (352 nucleotides) under soil metagenome. RNAcentral's name for it is "partial contains 5.8S ribosomal RNA, internal transcribed spacer 2, and large subunit ribosomal RNA". The stretch from base 1 to 120 matches the Rfam family "5.8S ribosomal RNA", at positions 35 to 154 of the family's 154-position model. The record is from RNAcentral.